AGAGUUUGAUCCUGGCUCAGAUUGAACGCUGGCGGCAGGCCUAACACAUGCAAGUCGAGCGGUAACAGAAAGUAGCUUGCUACUUUGCUGACGAGCGGCGGACGGGUGAGUAAUGCUUGGGAACAUGCCUUGAGGUGGGGGACAACAGUUGGAAACGACUGCUAAUACCGCAUAAUGUCUACGGACCAAAGGGGGCUUCGGCUCUCGCCUUUAGAUUGGCCCAAGUGGGAUUAGCUAGUUGGUGAGGUAAUGGCUCACCAAGGCGACGAUCCCUAGCUGGUUUGAGAGGAUGAUCAGCCACACUGGGACUGAGACACGGCCCAGACUCCUACGGGAGGCAGCAGUGGGGAAUAUUGCACAAUGGGCGCAAGCCUGAUGCAGCCAUGCCGCGUGUGUGAAGAAGGCCUUCGGGUUGUAAAGCACUUUCAGUCAGGAGGAAAGGUUAGUAGUUAAUACCUGCUAGCUGUGACGUUACUGACAGAAGAAGCAUAAGCUAACUCCGUGACAGCAGCCGCGGUAAUAC
Molecule: ribosomal RNA, 523 nt
Filed under: Pseudoalteromonas sp.
Lineage: Bacteria; Pseudomonadati; Pseudomonadota; Gammaproteobacteria; Alteromonadales; Pseudoalteromonadaceae
Description: bacterial SSU rRNA
Rfam family: Bacterial small subunit ribosomal RNA
Source: RNAcentral